CAGGCUUAACACAUGCAAGUCGAGGGGCAUCAGGAAGAAAGCUUGCUUUCUUUGCUGGCGACCGGCGCACGGGUGAGUAACACGUAUCCAACCUGCCCUUUACUCGGGGAUAGCCUUUCGAAAGAAAGAUUAAUACCCGAUGGCAUAAUGAUUCCGCAUGGUUUCAUUAUUAAAGGAUUCCGGUAAAGGAUGGGGAUGCGUUCCAUUAGGUUGUUGGUGAGGUAACGGCUCACCAAGCCUUCGAUGGAUAGGGGUUCUGAGAGGAAGGUCCCCCACAUUGGAACUGAGACACGGUCCAAACUCCUACGGGAGGCAGCAGUGAGGAAUAUUGGUCAAUGGGCGCUAGCCUGAACCAGCCAAGUAGCGUGAAGGAUGAAGGCUCUAUGGGUCGUAAACUUCUUUUAUAUAAGAAUAAAGUGCAGUAUGUAUACUGUUUUGUAUGUAUUAUAUGAAUAAGGAUCGGCUAACUCCGUGCCAGCAGCCGCGGUAAUACGGAGGAUCCGAGCGUUAUCCGGAUUUAUUGGGUUUAAAGGGAGCGUAGGUGGACUGGUAAGUCAGUUGUGAAAGUUUGCGGCUCAACCGUAAAAUUGCAGUUGAUACUGUCAGUCUUGAGUACAGUAGAGGUGGGCGGAAUUCGUGGUGUAGCGGUGAAAUGCUUAGAUAUCACGAAGAACUCCGAUUGCGAAGGCAGCUCACUGGACUGCAACUGACACUGAUGCUCGAAAGUGUGGGUAUCAAACAGGAUUAGAUACCCCUGGUAGUCCACACAGUAAACGAUGAAUACUCGCUGUUUGCGAUAUACAGUAAGCGGCCAAGCGAAAGCAUUAAGUAUUCCACCUGGGGAGUACGCCGGCAACGGUGAAACUCAAAGGAAUUGACGGGGGCCCGCACAAGCGGAGGAACAUGUGGUUUAAUUCGAUGAUACGCGAGGAACCUUACCCGGGCUUAAAUUGCAGUGGAAUGAUGUGGAAACAUGUCAGUGAGCAAUCACCGCUGUGAAGGUGCUGCAUGGUUGUCGUCAGCUCGUGCCGUGAGGUGUCGGCUUAAGUGCCAUAACGAGCGCAACCCUUAUCUUUAGUUACUAACAGGUUAUGCUGAGGACUCUAGAGAGACUGCCGUCGUAAGAUGUGAGGAAGGUGGGGAUGACGUCAAAUCAGCACGGCCCUUACGUCCGGGGCUACACACGUGUUACAAUGGGGGGUACAGAAGGCAGCUAGCGGGUGACCGUAUGCUAAUCCCAAAAGCCUCUCUCAGUUCGGAUCGAAGUCUGCAACCCGACUUCGUGAAGCUGGAUUCGCUAGUAAUCGCGCAUCAGCCACGGCGCGGUGAAUACGUUCCCGGGCCUUGUACACACCGCCCGUCAAGCCAUGGGAGCCGGGGGUACCUGAAGUACGUAACCGCAAGGAUCGUCCUAGGGUAAAACUGGUGACUGGGGCUA
This 1438-nucleotide ribosomal RNA is filed under the name uncultured organism. RNAcentral's name for it is "16S ribosomal RNA". It matches the Rfam family "Bacterial small subunit ribosomal RNA". The record is from RNAcentral.